RNAcentral lists this ribosomal RNA (154 nucleotides) under uncultured bacterium. RNAcentral's name for it is "partial 16S ribosomal RNA". It matches the Rfam family "Bacterial small subunit ribosomal RNA", at positions 355 to 525 of the family's 1533-position model. The record is from RNAcentral.
UGGGGAAUAUUGGACAAUGGGCGAAAGCCUGAUCCAGCAAUGCCGCGUGAGUGAUGAAGGCCUUCGGGUUGUAAAGCUCUUUUACUCGGGACGAUAAUGACGGUACCGAGAGAAUAAGCCCCGGCUAACUCCGUGCCAGCAGCCGCGGUAAUGA